RNAcentral lists this ribosomal RNA (279 nucleotides) under uncultured bacterium. Its description in RNAcentral is "partial 16S ribosomal RNA". It matches the Rfam family "Bacterial small subunit ribosomal RNA", at positions 506 to 784 of the family's 1533-position model. The record is from RNAcentral.
UGCCAGCCGCCGCGGUAAUACGGAGGGUGCAAGCGUUGUUCGGAAUUAUUGGGCGUAAAGCGCGCGUAGGCGGCUUGGUAAGUCGGAUGUGAAAGCCCGGGGCUCAACCCCGGAAUUGCAUUCGAAACUGCCCGGCUAGAGUCUCGGAGAGGAGGGCGGAAUUCCCGGUGUAGAGGUGAAAUUCGUAGAUAUCGGGAGGAACACCAGUGGCGAAGGCGGCCCUCUGGACGAUGACUGACGCUGAGGUGCGAAAGCGUGGGGAGCAAACAGGAUUAGAUA